RNAcentral lists this ribosomal RNA (1482 nucleotides) under uncultured Bordetella sp. Its description in RNAcentral is "partial 16S-23S ribosomal RNA intergenic spacer". It matches the Rfam family "Bacterial small subunit ribosomal RNA". Lineage: Bacteria; Pseudomonadati; Pseudomonadota; Betaproteobacteria; Burkholderiales; Alcaligenaceae. The record is from RNAcentral.
GGUUCGAUUAUGGCUCAGAUUGAACGCUGGCGGGAUGCUUUACACAUGCAAGUCGAACGGCAGCACGGACUUCAGUCUGGUGGCGGUGGCGAACAGGUGAGUAAUGUAUCGGAGACGUUACUGGCAAACGCGGGGAUAACUACGCGGCGUAGCUAAUACCGCAUACGCCCUUCCGGGGAAAGCAGGGGACCUUCGGGCCUCGCACUAUUAGAGCGGCCGAUAUCGGAUUAGCUAGUUGGUGGGGUAACGGCUCACCAAGGCGACGAUCCGUAGCUGGUUUGAGAGGACGACCAGCCACACUGGGACUGAGACACGGCCCAGACUCCUACGGGAGGCAGCAGUGGGGAAUUUUGGACAAUGGGGAAACCCUGAUCCAGCCAUCCCGCGUGUGCGAUGAAGGCCUUCGGGUUGUCAAAGCACUUUUUGGCAGGAAAGAAACAGCACGGAUAAUACCCGUACAGCUGACGGUACCUGCAGAAUAAGCACCGGCUAAUACGUGCCAGCAGCCGCGGUAAUACGUAAGUGCAAGCGUUAAUCAGGUACUGGGCGUAAAGCGUGCGCAGGCGGUUCGGAAAGAAAGAUGUGAAAUCCCAGAACUUAACUUUGGAACUGCAUUUUAACUACCGAGCUAGAGUGUGUCAGAGGAGGUGGAAUUCCGUGUAGCAGUGAAAUGCGCGUAGAUAUGCGGAGGAACACCGAUGGCGAGGCAACCUCCUGGGAUAACACUGACGCUCAUGCACAGCGUGGGGGCAAACAGGAUUAGAUACCCUGGUAGUCCACGCCCUAAACGAUGUCAACUAGCUAUUUUGCGGGCCUUCGGGCCUUGACUAGCGCAGCUAACGCGUGAGGCACGACCGCCUGGGAGUACGGUCGCAAGAUUAAAACUCAAGGUGGCGGGGACCCGCACAAGCAGUGGAUGAUGUGGAUUAAUUCAGUGCAACGCGAAAACCUUACCUGCCCUUGACAUGUCUGGAAUCCCGAAGAUUUGGGAGUGCUCGCAAGAGAACCGGAACACAGGUGCUGCAUGGCUGUCGUCAGCUCGUGUCGUGAGAUGUUGGGUUAAGUCCCGCAACAGGCGCAACCCUUGUCAUUAGUUGCUACGAGGAGCACUCUAAUGAGACUGCCGGUGACAAGCCGGAGGAAGGUGCAGGGAUGACGUCAAGUCCUCAUGGCCCAUAUGGGUAGGGCUUCACACGUCAUACAAUGGUCGGGACAGAGGGUCUAGCCAACCCGCGAGGAGCCAAUCCCAAGAAGCCCGAUCGUAGUCCGGAUCGCAGUCUGCAACUCUCGACUGCGUGAAGUCGGAAUCGCUAGUAAUCGCGGAUCAGCAUGUCGCGGUGAAUACGUUCGGGUCUUGUACACACCGCCCGUCACACCAUGGGAGUGGGUUUUACCAGAAGUAGUUAGCCUAACCGUAAGGAGGGCGAUUACCACGGUAGGAUUCACGCCGGCUUCUGGGGUGAAGUCGUAACAAAAAGGUAA